AGCCCCAGCGGGACGGCGGCGAGUGGGUUUGGGAGCCGGGCCGGGACACGCGAGGCGACGGGGAGCUCACCGCAAGGCUGGAGGCCCGGAGGCUGCGUCCCCAAGCGCGCUGGGAGCCGAGAGACGGAGAGCGAGCGCUCUGCAGCGGGCGGUGGACGCGCUGAAGGCACCAACCCUGGAGAAGCUUCUGCUGGUGCUUGGACAUGCGCCUGGACCUUGGAGGAGCUCCCCGCUGAGGACCCCGACUGUCCCUGCUCAGCCCCCCUCCGAGCCAGCCGCCUGGGAGAGAGGCACUUGGAGCCCUGCACCCCAGCUUUGCGGAUGCACCCCAGCCCCUCUGAGCCCCACCCCUCCCCCAAGGGGAGAUGGGAACUAAAACGGCCUGGGAGGUCUGGGCCUGCAGCACAGCUCUCUGUGCCGGGGGACACCGGGCCCUGCCCUGGGGUCUGGAGACACUCACCGCUGUGGGCUGGGUGGGCUGCCCGCCUCAGUUCUGAGCCGGCGGAGAUCUCCUGGGCCACAGGCUGCAGCAGCUCACCUGGGGGCUGGGGUCUCGGGCAGCCCUGGCCUGCUGCAGCUCAGGCUGGGGGGCAGCUGGGGCGCGCGGCUGAGCCCGAGGAGAUGUGGGGCCCUGGGGCUGGGGGCUGGAAUCCGGCUGCUCGUCCUCAAGUUCAGGGGUGACUCUUCGGCCCCUGGGGAAAAUAAAGAGUGUGUUC
Molecule: unclassified non-coding RNA, 716 nt
Filed under: Sus scrofa (pig)
Lineage: Eukaryota; Metazoa; Chordata; Mammalia; Artiodactyla; Suidae
Description: insulin-like growth factor 2 antisense RNA splice variant
Source: RNAcentral